RNAcentral lists this ribosomal RNA (429 nucleotides) under Verrucomicrobiota bacterium. RNAcentral describes it as "Verrucomicrobia bacterium partial 16S ribosomal RNA". It matches the Rfam family "Bacterial small subunit ribosomal RNA", at positions 355 to 776 of the family's 1533-position model. The record is from RNAcentral. Lineage: Bacteria; Pseudomonadati; Verrucomicrobiota.
UAGGGAAUCUUCCGCAAUGGACGAAAGUCUGACGGAGCAACGCCGCGUGUGUGAAGAAGGAUUUCGGUUCGUAAAACUCUGUUGUUAGGGAAGAAAAAAUGUAUAGUAACUAUAUACAAAAGAGACGGUACCUAACCAGAAAGCCACGGCUAACUACGUGCCAGCAGCCGCGGUAAUACGUAGGUGGCAAGCGUUGUCCGGGAUUAUUGGGCGUAACGCGCGCGCAGGUGGUUUAGAAAGUCUGAUGUGAAAGCCCACGGCUCAUCCGUGGAGGGUCAUUGGAAACUAAUAAACUUGAGUGCAGGAGAGAAAAGUGGAGUUCCUAGUGUAGCGGUGAAAUGCGUAUAGAUUAGGGGGAACACCGCGAGCGAGAGCGGCUUUUUGGCCUGCAACUGACACUGAGGCGCGAAAGCGUGGGGAGCAAACAGA